UUAAAAUAAUUCGCAUCUCUGCUAGUACAGAACUACAAUUCCCAGAAUGCCUUGCUGAGGUUUUUGCCUGUAAAUAGUCUGGCACAUGGUCUUAAAUAUCAGCGUGAUCUGCGCACAGGCUUGGACACAUAAAAAGAAUUGUGUCAGCAGAUACAAAAAAAUUUCCCUUUUCCGACUCGGAGUCGAACAUCCAGGAUUCAUUCAACCACUAGAUACAUCCUCCAAUGCGGCAAACUUACCUCAUAGGAUUGAGGUAACUUUUGAUGCUGAGAUAAUUUUAUUAUACCUAUUCAGUGAGAAAUUGCAGUUUACACUGAGAUAAACAGGACUGAACAGGAGACCAGGAGAGGCUGAAAAUCGAUUGUUAAAUUGCGAAAUCUGAGCUUGAUAACAGCUGGGAUAGAGCACUUGAGAACUCUUUAAUAUGGAAAAUGUUAUAUGCACAAAUAUUUGUAACACAAAGAGAAAUAAGUCAAAACUUUCAGGAAAUCAGAAAGGUUCUAAUUUGGUUAUCUCCCAAAAAAAGAAAGACGGAGAAUCUUCCGACAAGUUAAAAAGAGAACACGAAUUUGUUCAACACGAUAUACCCCAAACAAAAGUAAAACGUCAUAUUUGUUCUUGGUGCAAAAAGCAGUUUUCGCAAAAGUGCCAUCUUAACAGACACAUAAAAAGUCAUACGGGGGAAGCUCCACAUGCGUGUUCAGAAUGUGAAAAAUGCUUUAGUGUAAAGUCCAAUCUUAUCAUACAUAUGAGAAUUCACACAGGGGAGAAACCGUACAAAUGUUCUGAAUGUAAAAGUUGCUUUGUACACAAGAGUCAUCUUGUGGUCCACCAAAGAACUCACACAGGGGUGAAACCCUACAGCUGCCCCGAAUGUAAACAAAGUUUUGCAUACUCUUCAGAUCUAAAAAGGCACCAGAAAAUUCACAUGGGAAUUAGGUAUAAUUGUACCGAGUGCAGCAAGACCUUCAGUCGGAAACAACAUCUCAGUCGUCACCUCAGAAUCCACACAGGCGAAGAGCCAUUCAAGUGUUCAGAAUGUGGGAUGUGCUUUAAUAGGAAAUUCACUCUGGGUGUACAUUACAGAACGCACACAGGAGAAAAACCUUACGAAUGCUUUGAAUGUGAUAAAAAGUUUAGUAUUAAAGCAACCCUUCACCAGCACCAACAGAAGGUUCAUGCUGCCGACGGUUCCUCGUGUUCAUCAUACUUAGAGACUGAGUGAGCUCUAAAGAGCAUAUGAUAGUUUCAGACUGUAAAAAACAUGUUUGAAUAAAUAGCUAGAUUUAAAAAAUUUUUUUAAUUUCAAUGGUCAUAAAAAGGGACAGUAAACAUUUUGAGAUUGUAAUAUAAAAUACUUAAAGAGACAGUCUACACCCUUAAUACGCUUACUGGUUUGGAUUCUAAUCCCCUGAUUAAAUCCAGCCACCAAUCAGCAAGCACUACCCAGGUUCUGAACCAAAAAAGGGCCGGCUCCUAAGCUUACAGUCCUGCUUUUUCAAAUAAAGAUAGCAAGAUAACGAAUAAAAAAUGAUAAUAGAAGUAAAUUAGAACGUUGCUUAAAAUUGCUGCUUUAUUUGAAAGAAAAAAAUUGUGUUUAGUAUCCAGUUAAUUUUAUAAAUAUACUAUACUGCGCUAGAAACCUGUGUACAAAAUAAACUUUUUAAAAAGCUUUUAAAACUAA
Bombina bombina (fire-bellied toad) is the source of this 1684-nucleotide RNA transcript. It is a transcript of the gene named gastrula zinc finger protein XlCGF71.1-like, with no coding region annotated. The record is from RefSeq and is a predicted model, not a curated record. The transcript is spliced from 3 exons. Lineage: Eukaryota; Metazoa; Chordata; Amphibia; Anura; Bombinatoridae.